CGUUCCCGGGCCUUGUACACACCGCCCGUCACACCAUGGGAGUUGGUUUUACCCGAAGGCGUUUCGCUAACCGCAAGGAGGCAGGCGACCACGGUAGGGUCAGCGACUGGGGUG
RNAcentral lists this ribosomal RNA (114 nucleotides) under uncultured bacterium. RNAcentral describes it as "partial 16S ribosomal RNA". It matches the Rfam family "Bacterial small subunit ribosomal RNA", at positions 1369 to 1482 of the family's 1533-position model. The record is from RNAcentral.